GUGAAUCUCGGGCAGGGAGCCGUGGGUAGAAGUAGGUUGCGAGGGGUGUCCGGACUUACGUGGCGUAAAGCGAAAGCGGGUGGUCUGGUAAGUGGGACGUAAAAGCGCCUGGCGUAACUGGGAGGGGUCGUUGGAGACUGGCAGACGUGAGGCAAUGAGAGGGGCAUGGAAUUCCCGGUGUAGUGGUGGAAUGCGUAGAGAUCGGGAGGAACACCAGAGGCGAAAGCGGUGCCCUGGCAUUGGCCUGACGCUGAGAUGCGAAAGCGUGGGGAGCGAACGGGAUUAGAUACCCCUGUAGUC
This 300-nucleotide ribosomal RNA is filed under the name uncultured Desulfurococcus sp. Its description in RNAcentral is "bacterial SSU rRNA". It matches the Rfam family "Bacterial small subunit ribosomal RNA", at positions 496 to 795 of the family's 1533-position model. The record is from RNAcentral. Lineage: Archaea; Thermoproteati; Thermoproteota; Thermoprotei; Desulfurococcales; Desulfurococcaceae.